UCGCGAAAACUUCACAAUGGGGGAAACCCCGAUGAGGGAAUUCCAAGUGCCAGCACAUUGUGUUGGCUGUUCUCUGGUCUAAAAAACCGGAGAAGUAAGGGCCGGGUAAGACGGGUGCCAGCCGNCCGCGGUAAUACCCGCGGCCCAAGUGGUGGUCGAUAUUAUUGAGCCUAAAACGUCCGUAGCCGGUCUUGUAAAUCCUUGGGUAAAUCGACCAGCUCAACUGUUCGAAGUCCGGGGAGACUGCAAGACUUGGGAUCGGGAGAGGUGAGAGGUACUUCUGGGGUAGGGUAAAAUCCUGUAAUCCUAGAAGGACCACCGGUGGCGAAGGCGUCUCACUAGAACGAAUCCGACGGUGAGGGACGAAGCCCUGGGGCGCAAACGGGAUUAGAAACCCUAGUA
Molecule: ribosomal RNA, 402 nt
Filed under: uncultured bacterium
Lineage: Bacteria
Description: bacterial SSU rRNA
Rfam family: Archaeal small subunit ribosomal RNA
Source: RNAcentral